Long non-coding RNA from Hyaena hyaena (striped hyena), 293 nucleotides. RefSeq lists it as uncharacterized. Lineage: Eukaryota; Metazoa; Chordata; Mammalia; Carnivora; Hyaenidae. The transcript has 3 exons. The record is from RefSeq and is a predicted model, not a curated record.
GUUCGUGCAGGAAAUCAGGGAAUUGACCGUUCCUGCACCGCUUGGCUCGCCUGCAAAGCAGAAGACGGAGUGGGCUCCUGGACACGAGCCCCGGGGCCUCCUCGCGCUGAGAGGGGCCACUGGCUUGCCCUGCGACCUUGGGAACUUCCUGUGUCCCAACCCAGCAGUGGCCGGAGAUCACAGUGGGGCCCUAAGCUGCAGGAUGACCCACUGAAGCCUCAGGUUUUCCUUCCCACCCGGCUCUGAGACAUGAGGUGGAUGCUCCAGCGGGUGCUCCAUAUGCAGGUGAGUGC